GAUGAAGAACGUAGUGAAAUGCGAUAAGUAGUGUGAAUUGCAGAAUUCAGUGAAUCAUCGAAUCUUUGAACGCACAUUGCGCCCCCUGGUAUUCCGGGGGGCAUGCCUGUUCGAGCGUCAUUACAACCCUCAAGCUCUGCUUGGUAUUGGGCCCCGCCAGUUCUGGCGGGCCCUAAAGUCAGUGGCGGUGCCUUCCGGCUCCGAGCGUAGUAAUUCUUCUCGCUCUGGAGACCCGGUUGUGUGCUUGCCAACAACCCCCAAUUUUUUAAGGUUGACCUCGGAUCAGGUAGGGAUACCCGCUGAACUUAAGCAUAUCAAUAAGCGGAGGA
This 329-nucleotide unclassified non-coding RNA is filed under the name soil metagenome. RNAcentral's name for it is "partial contains 5.8S ribosomal RNA, internal transcribed spacer 2, and large subunit ribosomal RNA". The stretch from base 1 to 120 matches the Rfam family "5.8S ribosomal RNA", at positions 35 to 154 of the family's 154-position model. The record is from RNAcentral.